UAAGCAUAUCAAUAAGCGGAGGAAAAGAAACCAACAGGGAUUGCCCUAGUAACGGCGCAGUGAAGCGGCAAUAGCUCAGAUUUGAAAUCUGGUCCUUUCAGGGCCCGAGUUGUAAUCUGUAGAGGAUGCUUCGGCGUCAGCCUCGGCCUAAGUUCCUUGGAACAGGACGUCACAGAGGGUGAGAAUCCCGUAUGUGGUCGGCUGCUUUCGCCUUGUGAAGCUCCUUCAACGAGUCGAGUUGUUUGGGAAUGCAGCUCUAAACGGGAGGUAAAUUUCUUCUAAAGCUAAAUAUUGGCCAGAGACCGAUAGCGCACAAGUAGAGUGAUCGAAAGAUGAAAAGCACUUUGGAAAGAGAGUUAAAAAGCACGUGAAAUUGUUGAAAGGGAAGCGCUUGCAAUCAGACUUGCUCAUGAUGGCUUAUCCAAGCUAUAACGGCUUGGUGCACUCCUUCAUGGUCAGGCCAGCAUCAGUUCGGGCGGCCGGAUAAAGGGUCUGGGAAUGUGGCUCCCCUCGGGGAGUGUUAUAGCCCAGAUUGUAAUGCGGUCAGCCUGGACUGAGGUCCGCGCUUCGGCUAGGAUGCUGGCGUAAUGGUUGUAAGCGGCCCGUCUUGAAACACGGACCAAGGAGUCUAACAUCUAUGCGAGUGUUUGGGUGUUAAACCCAUACGCGCUAAUGAAAGUGAACGGAGGUGGGAACCCGCAAGGGCGCACCAUCGACCGAUCCUGAUGUCUUCGGAUGGAUUUGAGUAAGAGCAUAGCUGUUGGGACCCGAAAGAUGGUGAACUAUGCGUGGGUAGGGUGAAGCCAGAGGAAACUCUGGUGGAGGCUCGCAGCGGUUCUGACGUGCAAAUCGAUCGUCAAACCUGCGCAUAGGGGCGAAAGACUAAUCGAACCAUCUAGUAGCUGGUUCCUGCCGAAGUUUCCCUCAGGAUAGCAGUAACGUUUUCAGUUUUAUGAGGUAAAGCGAAUGAUUAGAGGCCUGGGGGUUGAAACAACCUUCACCUAUUCUCAAACUUUAAAUAUGUAAGAAGUCCUUGUUACUUAGUUGAACGUGGACAUUUGAAUGUAUCGUUACUAGUGGGCCAUUUUUGGUAAGCAGAACUGGCGAUGCGGGAUGAACCGAACGCGAUGUUAAGGUGCCGGAAUGCACGCUCAUCAGACACCCACAAAAGGUGUUAGUUCCAUCUAGACAGCAGGACGGUGGGCCAUGGAAGUCGGAAUCCGCUAAGGAGUGUGUAACAACUCACCUGCCGAAUGAACUAGCCCUGAAAAUGGAUGGCCGCUCAAGCGUGCUACCAAUACAUCGCCGCCCGGGUAAAAACCAUGCCCUGGCGAGUAAGCAGGCGUGGAGGUCCAGUGACCAANCCNUGGGGGUGACCCCNGGUAGAACGGCCUCUAGUGCAGNUGGGGGGGGG
RNAcentral lists this ribosomal RNA (1414 nucleotides) under Pseudorobillarda sojae. RNAcentral's name for it is "eukaryotic LSU rRNA". It matches the Rfam family "Eukaryotic large subunit ribosomal RNA", at positions 35 to 1460 of the family's 3401-position model. Lineage: Eukaryota; Fungi; Ascomycota; Dothideomycetes; Pleosporales. The record is from RNAcentral.